Molecule: ribosomal RNA, 468 nt
Filed under: uncultured bacterium
Lineage: Bacteria
Description: partial 16S ribosomal RNA
Rfam family: Bacterial small subunit ribosomal RNA
Source: RNAcentral
GAUGAACGCUGGCGGCGUGCUUAACACAUGCAAGUCGAACGGAAAGGCCCUGCUUUUGUGGGGUUCUCGAGUGGCGCACGGGUGAGUAACACGUGAGUAUCCCGCACUUGACUUUGUGAUAACUUCACGAAACUGCGGCUCAUACCGCAUAGGAGAUCUUGCUCCAUGGUGGUCGUUGGAAAGUUUCGGCGGUUGGGGAUGGAUUCGCGGCUUAUGAGCUUGUUGGUGGGGUAGUGGCGUACCAAGGCUUUGACGGGUAGCCUGCCUGAGAGGGGGACCAGGCACAAGGGGACUGAGGGACGGCGCAGACUGGUACGGGAGGCAGUAGGGGAAAGUAUGACACAAUGGGGGGGAGCGUGAUGCAGAGGUGUCGCGUGCGGAAAGCCGGCUUUCGGGUGAUAAACCGCUGUCGCCUGAGACGAAGCGGGAGUGACGGUAACUGGUAAAGAAGCACCGGCUAACUACGUG